RNAcentral lists this ribosomal RNA (891 nucleotides) under uncultured bacterium. RNAcentral's name for it is "bacterial SSU rRNA". It matches the Rfam family "Bacterial small subunit ribosomal RNA", at positions 22 to 894 of the family's 1533-position model. The record is from RNAcentral.
GCUCAGAGCGAACGUUAGCGGCACGCCUAACACAUGCAAGUCGCACGAGAAAGGGGCAACCUGAGUAAAGUGGCGCACGGGUGCGUAACACGUAGAUAACCUGCCCUUUGGAGGGGGAUAACGUUCCGAAAGGAGCGCUAAUACCGCAUACAGCAGUUUCCGGUUUGCCGGAGAUUGGCAAAGGUAGGGACCCGCAAGGGCCUACCGCCAGAGGAGGGGUCUGCGGCCCAUCAGCUAGUUGGUGAGGUAAUGGCUCACCAAGGCAGAGACGGGUAGCUGGUCUGAGAGGAUGAUCAGCCACACUGGUACUGGAACACGGACCAGACUCCUACGGGAGGCAGCAGUGGGGAAUCUUGGUCAAUGGGCGCAAGCCUGAACCAGCGAUGCCGCGUGAGUGAUGAAGGCCUUCGGGUUGUAAAGCUCUGUGGGGCGGGACGAAAAAGCAGUUUCUAACAGGAGCUGAAUUGACGGUACCGCCUUAGCAAGCACCGGCUAACUCUGUGCCAGCAGCCGCGGUAAGACAGAGGGUGCAAACGUUGCUCGGAAUCACUGGGCGUAAAGGGCGUGUAGGCGGGACAGUAAGUCGGGCGUGAAAUCCCUGGGCUCAACCCAGGAACUGCACUCGAAACUACUAUUCUUGAGUGUCGGAGAGGAAAGCGGAAUUCCUGGUGUAGAGGUGAAAUUCGUAGAUAUCAGGAGGAACACCAGUGGCGAAGGCGGCUUUCUGGACGAUAACUGACGCUGAGACGCGAAAGCGUGGGGAGCAAACAGGAUUAGAUACCCUGGUAGUCCACGCUGUAAACGAUGAGUGCUAGGUGUCGUGGGUAUUGACCCCCGCGGUGCCGUAGCUAACGCAUUAAGCACUCCGCCUGGGAAGUACGGUCGCAAGAC